AGCGUCGUUAAAGACCAUAAGGCUUUGCCUUGCGAUGAGCUUCUGACAGUCUCUUCGGAGAAGCCAGUUGCUUCAAACUUAUUGGCGUCUGAAGUUAGCCAAGCACAGCAAAAUGUGUUUUGAGUCUUGCGAACGAUUGCCCGUACCCAAAUUAUAUAUUGGUCGACCUCGGAUCAGGCAAGAUUACCCGCUGAACUUAA
RNAcentral lists this unclassified non-coding RNA (200 nucleotides) under soil metagenome. RNAcentral describes it as "partial contains internal transcribed spacer 2 and large subunit ribosomal RNA". The record is from RNAcentral.